UAGAAAACGAAAAGCACGAGAAGGCAACCGAGUCGAGCGUUGCUCGAGCACCGGUGAUCGAUCGAUCCAUCAAGAUCGACAAACCGUUUACCGUGCUGAAAGAAAAGGCACGAGGUGAAGUGCCCCGUGCACAUAGCUAAACUUUCUCGGACAAAGUCAAGACACAGUCAAGGACCUAUUUUGACUAGCAGAUGAGCCAGACGUCUAUCGAAUUCAAUGAGAGACUUUGCGACCCAAAGUCCCCGAAAACAUCUGGCAAUAGAUAGUCCGAAACAUCGAUCAUUAUCAAUGGGCCGACGAGACUCGACCACACACCUAUGUAC
Molecule: long non-coding RNA, 323 nt
Organism: Vespula pensylvanica (western yellowjacket)
Lineage: Eukaryota; Metazoa; Arthropoda; Insecta; Hymenoptera; Vespidae
Exons: 2
Source: RefSeq, a predicted model, not a curated record